This is a small nuclear RNA of Hippopotamus amphibius kiboko, 107 nucleotides long. Lineage: Eukaryota; Metazoa; Chordata; Mammalia; Artiodactyla; Hippopotamidae. The record is from RefSeq and is a predicted model, not a curated record.
AUGCUCACUUCGUCAGCACAUGUACUAAAACUGUAAUGAGACAGAGAACAUUAGCAUGGCCCCUACACAAGGAUGACAUGCAAAUUCGUGAAGCAUUCCAUAUUUUU